AAUAGAUACCCGGGUAGUCCAUGCCGUAAACGUUGGGCACUAGGUGUGGGGGACAUUCCACGUUUUCCGCGCCGUGGCUAACGCAUUAAGUGCCCCGCCUGGGGAGUACGGCCGCAAGGCUAAAACUCAAAGGAAUUGACGGGGGCCCGCACAAGCGGCGGAGCAUGCGGAUUAAUUCGAUGCAACGCGAAGAACCUUACCAAGGCUUGACAUGAACCAGACCGGGCUGGAAACAGUCCUUCCCCUUGUGGGUUGGUUUACAGGUGGUGCAUGGUUGUCGUCAGCUCGUGUCGUGAGAUGUUGGGUUAAGUCCCGCAACGAGCGCAACCCUCGUUCUAUGUUGCCAGCACGUAAUGGUGGGGACUCAUAGGAGACUGCCGGGGUCAACUCGGAGGAAGGUGGGGAUGACGUCAAAUCAUCAUGCCCCUUGUGUCUAGGGCUGCAAACAUGCUACAAUGGCCGGUACAAAGGGCUGCGAGACCGUGAGGUGGAGCGAAUCCCUUAAAGUGGGUCUCAGUUCGGAUCGGGGUCUGCAACUCGACCCCA
RNAcentral lists this ribosomal RNA (546 nucleotides) under uncultured bacterium. Its description in RNAcentral is "bacterial SSU rRNA". It matches the Rfam family "Bacterial small subunit ribosomal RNA", at positions 777 to 1320 of the family's 1533-position model. The record is from RNAcentral.